RNAcentral lists this unclassified non-coding RNA (377 nucleotides) under uncultured Bryobacterales bacterium. RNAcentral's name for it is "contains 16S-23S intergenic spacer region". The record is from RNAcentral. Lineage: Bacteria; Pseudomonadati; Acidobacteriota; Terriglobia; Bryobacterales.
UCCAGCUUAUCGCUGGCGGUCUCCUGCGAGUUCCGCCUUUCGGCAUGGCAACACAGGACAAGGGUUGCGCUCGUUGCGGGACUUAACCCAACAUCUCACGACACGAGCUGACGACAGCCAUGCAGCACCUCGACUCCCGUCCCUUGCGGGAAAAGGAUGUUUCCACCCUCGUUCGUGAGCCGUUCGAGCCCAGGUAAGGUUCUUCGCGUUGCGUCGAAUUGAACCACAUGCUCCACCGCUUGUGCGGGCCCCCGUCAAUUCCUUUGAGUUUCAGCCUUGCGACUGUACUCCCCAGGCGGCAUAUUUAACGCGUUAGCUCCGGCACGGAUGAACUGAAUCACCCACACCAAAUAUGCAUCGUUUAGGGCGUGGACUAC